RNAcentral lists this ribosomal RNA (506 nucleotides) under uncultured bacterium. Its description in RNAcentral is "bacterial SSU rRNA". It matches the Rfam family "Bacterial small subunit ribosomal RNA", at positions 28 to 520 of the family's 1533-position model. The record is from RNAcentral.
GAUGAACGCUAGCGAUAGGCCUAACACAUGCAAGUCGAGGGGCAUCACAUGAAGUAGCAAUACGGAUGGUGGCGACCGGCGCACGGGUGAGUAACACGUAUGCAACCUGCCUUCAACAAGGGGAUAACCCGUUGAAAGACGGACUAAUACCCUAUAACACAGGGGUCCCGCAUGGGAAUAUUUGUUAAAGGACAACCGGUUGAAGAUGGGCAUGCGUUCCAUUAGCUAGUUGGCGGGGUAACGGCCCACCAAGGCAACGAUGGAUAGGGGAACUGAGAGGUUUAUCCCCCACACUGGUACUGAGACACGGACCAGACUCCUACGGGAGGCAGCAGUGAGGAAUAUUGGUCAAUGGACGCAAGUCUGAACCAGCCACGUCGCGUGAAGGAAGACGGCCCUACGGGUUGUAAACUUCUUUUAGUACGGGAAUAAAGUCGCCCCACGCGGUGGGGUUUUGCAUGUACCGUAUGAAUAAGGAUCGGCUAACUCCGUGCCAGCAGCCGCGG